GCGACCUCCUGAGCGAGCGCCGCCGCCAGGUUGCCGCCCGCGCUGUCCCCCGACACGGCCACGCGCUCGGGGUCCACGCCGUGCUCGGCCAGCGCCGCCGGGGUCAGGAAGCGCUUGGCGGCCGUCAGGCAGUCCAGUUUUGUAGCAAAUGAGCUAACGGCUCAGUAUAGUUGCAAAACGCGGGAGCGGAUGUAGCGUGCCGAUCCCUGAACUAUUGCACCACCGCCGUCUUUGAUCUGCGCACGACGUACCGAGGUGCAAAGGCAUAUGAAAGUCUUGAGGAUGGCGUCCAGCAGCAAAAGCUUCCACUGCUGCCCGAUGGCGGAGGGCAGCGGUCUGGACACGCAGUACCGCAGCGCCGCGGCGGCGGCCAGGGAGGAGGCGGCGACGCCCGCCCAGAGC
Molecule: long non-coding RNA, 402 nt
Organism: Syngnathoides biaculeatus (alligator pipefish)
Lineage: Eukaryota; Metazoa; Chordata; Actinopteri; Syngnathiformes; Syngnathidae
Exons: 3
Source: RefSeq, a predicted model, not a curated record